RNAcentral lists this ribosomal RNA (414 nucleotides) under Triticum aestivum (bread wheat). Its description in RNAcentral is "partial small subunit ribosomal RNA". The record is from RNAcentral. Lineage: Eukaryota; Viridiplantae; Streptophyta; Magnoliopsida; Poales; Poaceae.
AUGCACCUUGUUGAUGAUGAAGUAUUACAGAUUAUCCUUGAGGAUGUAAAGCAGGACCCAGCCCACCACCGGCAUCUCGAGGACCCACACGAAGAUCUUCACCAGAAGCCUGGCGACCCGAGGAGCUGCUCGCCAGAAUUCAGCAUUCAACAACACGAAAAUAGGAUGAGAAUUCAUAAUUCAGCAGCAACAAAUGUCGAACCUUUGACAUUGGGACAUACAGCAACCGCCGUGACUGUAAUUCAGCAACAACCGCUGAAGGGGCAGGACUCGUUGUCCUCCUCGACCAUGGGGGAAAGGCCCAGCAACGAGCCGUUGGUGCUCCCGCCCUCCGACGACACGGAGAUGUCGCGACAGACAUGGAUGUAUUCGACGACCCUGAGAAUAGUGCAGUUGGCUGAUCAACAUAGAUAA